AACGCACAUUGCGCCCUUUGGUAUUCCGAAGGGCAUGCCUGUUCGAGCGUCAUUUCAAACCCUCAAGCUUACGCUUGGUGUUGGGCUUCGUCCAUUCCUUCGGGAGAGGACGUGCCUGAAACUCAUAGGCAGUUGUUUCCAGCUUCUCAGCGUAGUCAUUUUUAACAUCGCUCUGGAGUUUCUGGGCUCAACCCGCCGGAGAACCCCCCCAUUUUUAUCAAGGUUUGACCUCGGAUCAGGUAGGGAUACCCGCUGAACUUAA
Molecule: unclassified non-coding RNA, 262 nt
Filed under: uncultured Ascomycota
Lineage: Eukaryota; Fungi; Ascomycota
Description: sequence contains ITS2
Rfam family: 5.8S ribosomal RNA (bases 1-52)
Source: RNAcentral